UUUCAAGUUGUUUCAAAAUGUUACUCACAUUAGAAUAAGUUAGUUCCUAGACCGGAUCAAACAUUUCUAAAUUUCUUCAACAGUCUAACCAAUUAAGCAUCAAGCUCGAUCGGUCCUUCAGUACUGUACUGACUAAAUAUCAAGAACAUGGUUCUCAUGUCUUCGUCGUUCCCGAGCUUCAUUCGGCUGAAACGCACAG
This 199-nucleotide long non-coding RNA is filed under the name Medicago truncatula (barrel medic). RNAcentral's name for it is "long non-coding RNA (MTRU_LNC006225)". The record is from RNAcentral. Lineage: Eukaryota; Viridiplantae; Streptophyta; Magnoliopsida; Fabales; Fabaceae.